This 247-nucleotide long non-coding RNA is filed under the name Dermacentor andersoni. RNAcentral's name for it is "uncharacterized LOC126526394". The record is from RNAcentral. Lineage: Eukaryota; Metazoa; Arthropoda; Arachnida; Ixodida; Ixodidae.
AAUUUCAGCGCUGACACCCGUUGUUGCAAAUGGGUUGCAAGCCCCAAGGGUAGCGUUGGCCUGGCGGCCUGGGGCACAACUGGAAGCAUCCGAAGGUCCCGGCAAAGCAUGAGUCGACUGGUAACAGAACAACUUGUUUAUUCUAGCAUCGCAAAAGAGCGGGCGGUCAGGGCGACCGAAGUGGAGAGACGGGAGAGCACGUAACUCAACAGAAGAAAUCGGAGCCUCUCUCGGCGUCCGGGAGCAG